GUGAAUAUAGCGCAUCUCUUCGGAGAGCGUGACCUCCACUUUCAACUCUGUGCAUUUUUUGGCGAGGGAACGAGACGAAGCGAAGCAAGUUGCAGACUCUCGCCUCUUGCGGCUCAUUUUAAACACUAGUUAAAGUAUGUAACGAAAUAUCGAAACAAAAA
Molecule: unclassified non-coding RNA, 161 nt
Filed under: soil metagenome
Description: partial internal transcribed spacer 1
Source: RNAcentral